GGACCUGUAGCUCAGAUUGGACAGAGCAGCUUCCUCCUAAGACGAUUAUAGGCAAAGAAGGUCGUGGGUUCAAAUCCCACCAGGUCCG
RNAcentral lists this transfer RNA (88 nucleotides) under Candidatus Aenigmatarchaeota archaeon. RNAcentral's name for it is "tRNA-OTHER". It matches the Rfam family "tRNA". From Rfam's summary of the family: Transfer RNA (tRNA) molecules are approximately 80 nucleotides in length. The record is from RNAcentral. Lineage: Archaea; Nanobdellati; Candidatus Aenigmatarchaeota.